UUGCAGCGCAUCGCCUCCGAUCUCCGCACUCCGCUCGCCUUGCUCCUCCCCUCUCCCUCCUCGCAAUCGCGCGUGUGCUGAACCAAACACUGGUGGAGAACCUGCUCUCCGCCAUGGAGGGAGGCCCCUCAGAUCCGCCCUCUGCUCCACCUCCUGCUCCGCUCAGGCGAGGGUGAGGGCGCGGCACCGGUAUCCUCGGCGCUCAGGCCACUAUGGCCGACAUCUAGAGCCCUCAGAGUACAAUCCCUUCACCAAUCUCCUCUUUCCUGUUGCUCCAUGCCCUCAUCCCUCCAAGUUUCAGAAUCCCACAUUUCGAUGCGCGAGGUCUACAACGGCACGCUAGCCGGCCACAUACAGGGGCAAGCGGCAGCACUGGUUGGCGCCCACAAGAUCUGGUCCCUUGACCUUCGUGCCAUCUUCACUGGUCCUAGCAGCUCACGCCGGUGGCCUAGCGGCUUGUUUAUUGUUGCCUUUGCAGGUUGCUUAUGUCGGCUGUCUGCAUAUCAUCUGAUCUGUUGCUUCUUUGACUUACAGUGCUUCAUUCCGGUUUCAGCGGUAGCAGCUCUUGCCUCUGUUCAGGAACUGCCACAAACUAACCUUGGGUUCAGGGUGCCAAAUUGAAUAGCUGCCGCAGGGCUUGCACGGGUCCUGGAGAAGCUUGGGAUAUAUUGCGACGUUGAGCAGCAGUGAACGGAGGAUCAUUCAAGCACCACACUAAAUUACGUGAAUGCAUGAAGAUUACAAUGGGAAUAUGGUAGGAGACUAGGUAUCUAAGUUAGUGGCCGUAAAGCAUGCAGGUAACUGUUAAUGAAUAGGUGCUGCGAGAUGUAAAUGAAAUGUGGACUGUGAGAAUAGGUUCUACCCUGAUGUAUAAAUGAAAUGUGGAUUGUGAUAAUGACCUUGACCGCAAGAAAGCAUAUCUUUUCUCCAACUCAAAUUAGCUGUUAUUGGCCACUUUUGUUGACAGUUUUAGAAACCAGUUUGAUUAUCAAUGAUUCAAUAUUAUGUACA
Panicum virgatum (switchgrass) is the source of this 1011-nucleotide long non-coding RNA. RefSeq lists it as uncharacterized. The record is from RefSeq and is a predicted model, not a curated record. The transcript is spliced from 2 exons. NCBI's taxonomy places the organism in Eukaryota, Viridiplantae, Streptophyta, Magnoliopsida, Poales, Poaceae.